RNAcentral lists this transfer RNA (73 nucleotides) under Ailuropoda melanoleuca (giant panda). It matches the Rfam family "tRNA". Rfam says of the family: Transfer RNA (tRNA) molecules are approximately 80 nucleotides in length. The record is from Rfam by way of RNAcentral. Lineage: Eukaryota; Metazoa; Chordata; Mammalia; Carnivora; Ursidae.
ACCUGACUGGUGCAGUUGGUAGAACUUGCGACUCUUGAUCUUAGGGUUGUGAGUUCAAGCCCCGCGUUGGGUA